This 403-nucleotide ribosomal RNA is filed under the name uncultured bacterium. Its description in RNAcentral is "partial 16S ribosomal RNA". It matches the Rfam family "Bacterial small subunit ribosomal RNA", at positions 28 to 526 of the family's 1533-position model. The record is from RNAcentral.
GACGAACGCUGGCGGCGUGCCUAAUACAUGCAAGUCGAACGCAGUGGGGACGGGUGAGUAACACGUGGGUAACCUCCCAUCAGAGGGGAUAACACUUGGAAACAGGUGCUAAACCGAUACUGAUGGAUGGACCCGCGGUGCAUUAGCUAGUUGGUGAGGUAACGGCUCACCAAGGCCACGAUGCAUAGCGGACCCUAGAGGGUGAUCGGCAAUACUGGGACUGAGAAACGGCCCAGACUCCGACGGGAGGAAGAAGUAGGGAAUCUGCGGCAAUGGACGAAAGUCUGACCGAGAAAAGCCGCGUGAGUGAAGAAGGUUUUCGGAUCGGAAAACUCUGUUGGUAGAGAAGCGGUAGCUAACAAGAAAGCCACGGCUAACUACGUGCCAGCAGCCGCGGUAAUAC